CCUUUCUUUCUUUUAAUUGUAAUUCUCUUUGACUGUUUUAGAUCAACAAGGGACGUCCCCAUAUUCAAGCAAGGCUACAUUCCCGUAUUCAAUGGGCAAUUUGUGGAUUCAACAUCAGAUCAAGCAUUGAGCCAAAUUUUCAUGAGCUGUACUUGAAGUUCUUGGAGAAAGUUAAUUCAAGAUUGCUGAAUAAGGAGAUUGUCAAAGCUACUUAUGAGAAUUGCAAGACAUGGAUGAAUGAGGUCUAGCCAGAGAUUCUACAAGGAACCUUCAAGUGCUUGGAAUGCAGUUUUGUCAUCAGGAACGUCGAACAACAAUUCAAAUACACUGAGGUGCUGCAGUUUUAUACUAAAAUACAUGUCAUGUCAGAGUACAGAACUGACAAACAUGUCCAUGUCCAAGUCUCAUUGGUCUGUUGCAACUCAAAUUUGUUCCUGAAGCAUCCACAUUGUGUCUCUUACAGCUUGAUUGGCAAAGCUAUCUCUUGGAUGCUUAAUCAUGGAUUCUGCAGGUAUUGAUUUUGUGCAGGGACCUAUACUCUAGUUAUCUUCUCAAAAAAUCUCAAAAGAUGAAAGAUCUCUCUCUCUCUCUCUCUCUCUCUCUCUCUCUCUCUCUCAUUGCAUAUACACUCAAUUUCAUAACCCACAUAUGUAGUUGGUUUUGUUUAAAUUUUUUCUCCCUUGUUCAAAUCCCUACUAUACUUAUUUGUUCUUUUCUGUAAUAGUUGCAACGGACAGUUAGGAUGGUUGUAGCAUAUUUGUUGGUCCCUAUGUAAGAUGAAUUUGUCUUUUGUAGCCUUGGCCCGGCCUUGAUCGUGGUAUAAAAAGAUCCAUAUAGAGAUUAAAUCUGCCGGCCAAACCCAAGCACACGCUCUAAGGCAUGACUAUCCACUGCCAAACACCCAGGCCGUAAACACUUAAUAAAAAGUUUUGUCUAUUGUCAAACACCUAAGAAUCUUUGUUCAGUCGUUAAUUUAUUUAUUUUUGUAUAUUUGCAUAUGUCCUUAUUCUGUCACGAUUUGAUUUGUUUUUACAACUAAUUGAUGACAUUACCUUCUUAAUUAGGCAUAAAUCUAUGUUUGUGUGUAGGUCAAUGGCAUUGAGUACAAAGUAUAACUCUCUCCCAAACGAAUCUUCCCAACCAUUUGAGACUAUGAUCGAGAUGAAUUUGUGGAAUUGAUUAUUUGAAGUAUGAUAACUGCUGGAAUGGUGGUACUAGGCCAACAAUUCGGACAUCUACAUGAGGGCCAUCUGAUGGAUGGCUUGGAUCUUACCAACAUUGCCACAUCGACACAUGUGGAGGCGUGUGAGUUGAGUCAGCUGGCAGACAAAUUCCCAUUGCCUUCCUGGAGCAGGUUAAGGAUGAUUUCAACAAGAAGUAUGGAGGAGGAAGAGCUGCCACUGCUGUUGCUAACAGCCUCAACAAGGAGUCUGGGUCCAAACUGAAAGAGCACAUGCAGUAUUGUGUGGACCAUCCAGAGGAGACCAG
This is an RNA transcript of Magnolia sinica, 1488 nucleotides long. RefSeq lists it as uncharacterized. NCBI's taxonomy places the organism in Eukaryota, Viridiplantae, Streptophyta, Magnoliopsida, Magnoliales, Magnoliaceae. The transcript has 7 exons. The record is from RefSeq and is a predicted model, not a curated record.